Molecule: long non-coding RNA, 253 nt
Organism: Lineus longissimus
Lineage: Eukaryota; Metazoa; Nemertea; Pilidiophora; Heteronemertea; Lineidae
Exons: 3
Source: RefSeq, a predicted model, not a curated record
AAAGAACAUGAAGGGAAAUCAAGUUGGAGAGGUAGUUUAUUACGACACCAUCAAAGCUGUAUACCCAGGGGAAGAGUUGCUUGUAUAUUAUGGACACGGGUAUGCAGAUAUAUUAGGAACUGAAAGAAUCGAACCGAUGGCAGAUCCUCCAGAAAAUGCAUCGAUUUUAUACGAUAAUGAAUAUGAAGUAACGGUAGAAACGGGCCACUUAUUCGAAGCUGGGACUGAUGCAACAAUCUACGUCACAGCGGAG